CUCACAGUUAGACCUGGCAUGUGACUCUUUUGGUUGAUGAGAUAUAAUUUGAAGUGUUGUGUGGGACUUCCUGAAAGAAUGGAGUGUAGACCAUCUUUUCUCCCUUCUCCAUUCCACUACUUGAAAUGCAGAUGUGAUGGCUGGUGCUUUGGCUGCCCGUUUGGACCAGAAGCUGACCUCCGGUCUUGCAGAUGUUGCCAUCUUGCAGAGAAACUUGCAUGCUUUCAGCAAAACCCUCCAGCCCCAAGUGUCUACAAGUUACCUUGAACUGGUCUCCGCUCAGAUGUCGUUGAACUGGGAAGGCUUCCGGGAGACCCUCGGCUGCGUCAGAUGAGUCUGGAAUAGCACAUACCCUCUCCAUCUUCCAGAAGUGUGUUCCUGGUACAUGUGCCAUGGGCUAGAGUUUAAGAGGAAAGGAGAGACAAAGUUGGGGAAGAAACUGAACCAGCAAAUGUUUGGAGAGUUCCCAUUGAACUUGCCAUCAAGGCCAGCUUGGCCUUCAAAGACUGCUUUGUGGUCACAUCUGGGGAGAUGAUGGCGUCUUCUUCAUCCUCACACCUCAACGCCUGGCCCAGCCCCAGCUGGGAUUCUCCUCGCAGACGUUUGGGCAGAUAGUGGAGAAGGAAAGAGCUUCCCAGGUCUUCGCGAAGAUGGGACAUAACACAUCAAACCACAUCGUCACUGAGUGCUCUACAAAGAGAGGGCACAAGACUCUGACCUCCAAAAGGUGAGCCUUCCUGGCACCAGCCUUUCCCUUGCCCAGCCUCCUGUGGGAAAAGUUCUUCAUCUAGCAGCGUUACAUGCUAAUCCUUGAGGCAAGAGGCACCGUCCACUUUGCUGGUGACUCCGGAAGCUUCUUGCUUUUAUCCUCUGUCAGAUCACCAGACCUGGGCUGUGCGUGAUAUCUGGCUGACCCCGCAGUCAAGGAGCACAGAAUAUGCUUCCAAAAGCUGCCUGCUUAUGAAGGAAGAAAUCCUGUUUUCCCUGGAGCCUGGCUGGCCUCUGAGCGCUGUCACCACCAUGACUCUGCCAAGACAACUCACCUCUGUGUUCGUGCCCCCACCAUCUGGAUCCUCUUUGCACUGCUCGAGGGUCCGCCCUUCCUCCUGCCCCAUGGGCCUGCAGCAGAGGGUGCGGCAUCUCUGGGGUGGAAAUAGCUGGGGCUAAGGUCUGGGUGUGGCCGGUCUGCCCUCUGUGGCGCCUUGGCUCCAUGCUCUCUCUCAGAGCAAAGCGCCCUUCCUCCACUGCCAUCACUUCCCGGUGUCACUGUCUGCCAUGCCCGACAUCCGCCCUGAGCAUUGCCGCGUCUGAAUUUUUGCUG
Molecule: long non-coding RNA, 1321 nt
Filed under: Equus caballus (horse)
Lineage: Eukaryota; Metazoa; Chordata; Mammalia; Perissodactyla; Equidae
Description: lncRNA (ENSECAG00000045827.1)
Source: RNAcentral